RNAcentral lists this long non-coding RNA (360 nucleotides) under Pectinophora gossypiella (pink bollworm). RNAcentral's name for it is "uncharacterized LOC126367226". Lineage: Eukaryota; Metazoa; Arthropoda; Insecta; Lepidoptera; Gelechiidae. The record is from RNAcentral.
GUCGCUUUCACUGUUUACAGAUGCAGUUUUAGAGAUAAGAAUUUAAUUAUUUUUAAUUUUAUUUAAUACAAAAAGCCCUGCCUGCUUGUGAUUCAAAGGCGUUGGCAAACUCACAAAAAAUGUCUCUCAUGAGCACAAUUUUUGCAAGAGGAGACUGCAUGAAGACCAUUCCUAUGAAGUUCCAGAGAAACGUACAUGAGUCGAAAGUGAUGCACCUAUUUACUCCACCCCUCGACGCCCUAGACGAAGAAGGCGUGUGAUUGUCACGAAAAAAUCUCUGACAUAAAUUUGUGCAAGAAUUUACUCUGAGUACAUGAGAUCCAGAAAACAAUCCAUUAAAAAAUAAAAUAAUAAAUUGCA